RNAcentral lists this ribosomal RNA (293 nucleotides) under uncultured bacterium. RNAcentral describes it as "partial 16S ribosomal RNA". The record is from RNAcentral.
GGACUACUCGGGUAUCUAAUUCCGUUCGCUCCCCUGGCUUUCGCGCCUCAGCGUCAGGGUCGGCCCAGCUGGCCGCCUACGCCACUGGUGUUCUGCCCGAUCUCAACGCAUUUCACCGCUACUCCGGGCGUUCCGCCAGCCCCUACCGCCCUCUAAGCCAGCCCGUUUCGGACGCCCUCUCCCAGUGAAGCCAGGAGCUUUCACGUCCGACGCAACCGGCCGCCUACGCGCGCUUUACGCCCAGUAAUUCCGGACAACGCUCGCCUCCUACGUAUUACCGCGGCGGCUGGCAC